Molecule: transfer RNA, 65 nt
Filed under: Marmota monax (woodchuck)
Lineage: Eukaryota; Metazoa; Chordata; Mammalia; Rodentia; Sciuridae
Description: tRNA.Leu
Source: RNAcentral
GAUAUAGCUUAGUGGUAGAGGACUUGCCUCAAAUGUGUGAGGGCCUGGGUUCCAUCCCCAGUACA